RNAcentral lists this long non-coding RNA (1052 nucleotides) under Phasianus colchicus (ring-necked pheasant). RNAcentral's name for it is "lncRNA (ENSPCLG00000016807.1)". Lineage: Eukaryota; Metazoa; Chordata; Aves; Galliformes; Phasianidae. The record is from RNAcentral.
GCCUCACCGUGCACGCCCCGCUCCCUGAUGGCGGCGGCGGCGGCGCCGUCGGCGAUGAGCGUGGCGGGCAGGCGGUCGUGCAGCGCCUCCAGCGCCGUCAGCCGCGCCCCCUGCAGGAACGGCCGCGUCUCCGUGCACAGCAGCCGCGCCAGGCGGCCCUGCGAGUGCAGCGCCCGCACGACGCCUGCGGGGAGCCGGGGCUGCGGGGGGGGCGGAGACACGCGGGGGGGNNNNNNNNNNNNNNGAAAAGGGGACGGAGCUGUAGGGACACGUGGGGGCACAGCGACACGUGGGGACGUAUAGGGACAUAUAGGGGCACAUGGGGACAUAUAGGGACACAUGGGGACAUAUAGGGACACAUAGGGAAACAUGGGGACAUAUAGGGACACAUGGGGACAUACAGAGACACAUAGGGACACAGGGACACAUAGGGACACAUAGGAACAUAUAAGGACACAUGGGGACAUAUAGGGACGUAUAGAAAUAUAUAGACACAUAUAGGGACACAUGGGGACAUAUAGGGACACAUAGGGACAUAUAGGGACAUGUGGGGACAUACAGGGACAUACGGGGACACAUGGGGACAUAUAGGGACACAUGGGGACACGUGGGGACAUAUAGGGACAUAUAGGAAUACAUAGGAACACGUAAGAACACAUAGGGACAUAUAGGGACACAUAGGAAUACAUAGGAACACAUGGGGACACAUAGGGACGUAUAGGGACACACAAAGAUACAUAGGGACACAUAGGGAUACAUAGGAAUACAUGGGGACACAUGGGGACACAUAAGGACAUACAGGGACACAUAGGAACAUACGGGUACAUAUAGGGACAUGCAGCAACAUAUAGGGACGCGUGGGGAUGUGUGGGGACACGCGGGGAGCCGUACCGACACACAGGGACGUAUAGGGAUAUACAGACCCCCGGCCCCCCAUGACCCCCCACGACCCCCGACCCCCCAUGACCCCCGUGACCCCCAGCGCCCCAUGACCCCCCGUAACCCCUGGUCCCUUGACCCCCAAUAACCCCUGUGACCCCUGGCCCCCUAUG